This 403-nucleotide ribosomal RNA is filed under the name uncultured bacterium. RNAcentral describes it as "partial 16S ribosomal RNA". It matches the Rfam family "Bacterial small subunit ribosomal RNA", at positions 30 to 526 of the family's 1533-position model. The record is from RNAcentral.
AUUGAACGCUAGCGGCAGGCCUAACACAUGCAAGUCGAGCGAGCGGCGGACGGGUGAGUAAUGUAUGGGGACUGCCCGAUGGAGGGGGAUAACUACUGGAAACGGUUGCUAAUACCGCAUACCGUCGGAUGAACCAUAUGGGAUUAGCUAGUAGGUAAGGUAACGGCUUACCUAGGCGACGAUCCCUAGCUGGUCUGAGAGGAUGAUAAGCCACACUGGGACUGAGACACGGCCCAGACUCCGACGGAGGCAGCAGUGGGGAAUAUUGCACAAUGGGCGCAAGCCUGAUGCAGCCAUGCCGCGUGUAUGAAGAAGGCCUUAGGGUUGUAAAGUACUGUCAGUCGGGAGGCGUUACCUACAGAAGAAGCACCGGCUAACUACGUGCCAGCAGCCGCGGUAAUUC